This 1823-nucleotide ribosomal RNA is filed under the name metagenome. RNAcentral describes it as "bacterial LSU rRNA". It matches the Rfam family "Bacterial large subunit ribosomal RNA", at positions 157 to 1977 of the family's 2925-position model. The record is from RNAcentral.
ACAUAUUAUACCGUAAGGUAGGCAAACGCAGGGAACUGAAACAUCUAAGUACCUGCAGGAGAAGAAAACAAACGUGAUUCCCCCAGUAGCGGCGAGCGACCGGGGAUAAGCCCAAACCGUUAUUGUUUCGGCAGUAGCGGGGUAGUAGGACUGCGACAUUGAUGAAAUAAAUGAAAUGGAACACCUUGGAAAAUGUGAUCAUAGAGGGUGAUAAUCCCGUACAUGCAAGUUUAUGAAUCAUAGCAGUAUCCUGAGUAAGUCGGGACACGUGUAAUCCUGACCGAAUCCGCCGGGACCAUCCGGCAAGGCUAAAUACUCCUGAGAGACCGAUAGUGAACCAGUACCGUGAGGGAAAGGUGAAAAGCACUUCGAACAGAAGAGUGAAAUAGUUCCUGAACCCAUACGCCUACAAGCUGUCGGAGCCGCUUCGUGCGGUGACGGCGUGCCUUUUGCAUAAUGAGCCUACGAGUUACUCAUCACCAGCGAGGUUAAGUACUUCAGGUACGUAAGCCGAAGCGAAAGCGAGUCUGAAUAGGGCGUCAAGUUGGUGGUGGUAGACGCGAAACCUUAGUGAUCUACCCAUGGGCAGGGUGAAGGUUUGGUAACACAAACUGGAGGCCCGAACCGGUAAACGUUGAAAAGUUUUCGGAUGACCUGUGGGUAGGGGUGAAAGGCCAAUCAAACUGGGAAAUAGCUCGUACUCUCCGAAAUGCAUUUAGGUGCAGCCUCUGUUGUUUUGUUCUAGAGGUAGAGCUACUGAUUGGAUGCGAGGGCUUCACCGCCUAUCAAAUCCGGCCAAACUCCGAAUGCUAGAACAUGAAGACAGGGAGUGAGCCAGCGGGUGCUAAGGUCCGUUGACGAAAGAGGGAGAACUCAGACCAUCAGCUAAGGUCCCCAAUUAUAUGCUAAGUUGGAAUAAAAACGGGGUGGGACUGCUUAGACAGCUAGGAUGUUGGCUUGGAAGCAGCCAUUCAUUUAAAGAGUGCGUAACAGCUCACUAGUCGAGCGGUCCUGCAUGGAUAAUACGCGGGCAUAAGCAUAUAACCGAAGCUAUGGGAUUGUAGAUGAUACAAUCGGUAGGAGAGCAUUCCAUUCAGCAUAGAAGCAGUAUCGUGAGGUAUUGUGGAGCGGAUGGAAAAGCAAAUGUAGGCAUAAGUAACGAUAAUGCGGGUGAGAACCCCGCACGCCGAAAGAUCAAGGAUUCCCCGGCAAUGUCAAUCAUCCGGGGGUAAGUCGGAUCCUAAGGGUAAGCCGAGUGGCGAUCCCGAUGGUAAACAGGUUAAUAUUCCUGUACUGAUCAUAACUGCGAUGCAGCGACGCAGAGGUGACACUGCUGCGUACUGACGGAAUAGUACGUUGAAACCCGUAUUCUUUGAUACCGGUAGUGAAGCACGCCGGUAGAGAUGAAAGGUGAUAGUACCGCAAUGCUUCGGUUGCGCGGAUAAUGCAGGUAAGCUGACUGCCAAGAAAACCUGCUAAGCUUCAGGUAAUGAUCAUCCGUACUGUAAACGGACACACGUGAUCAGGUAGAAAAUACUAAGGCGCUCGAGAGAUUCAUGGUUAAGGAACUAGGCAAAAUGGUCCUGUAACUUCGGGAUAAAGGACGCUCUUGUGAAAGAGCCGCAGAUAAUAGGCCCAGGCGACUGUUUACCAAAAACACAUGGCUAUGCUAAUUCGCAAGAAGAUGUAUAUGGCCUGACACCUGCCCGGUGCCGGAAGGUUAAGAGGAGAGCUCAGAGGUAACUCGAAGGUUUGAAUUGAAGCCCCGGUAAACGGCGGCCGUAACUAUAACGGUCCUAAGGUAGCGAAAUUCCUUGUCAGGU